Molecule: unclassified non-coding RNA, 379 nt
Filed under: Hevea brasiliensis (rubber tree)
Lineage: Eukaryota; Viridiplantae; Streptophyta; Magnoliopsida; Malpighiales; Euphorbiaceae
Source: RNAcentral
GUAAAUUUACAUGUAACUUCAAUAGUAUAUGUAUCAUAAAAAAUACCCCAUUAAGAAUGCUAGCUUGAUGUGUUCUACUACAUAUUUGUUUAGUAAAUUCAUAAAUUCUGUCCUCCUCUGAUUUACAAAAUAACUUGGGAUAACCGAAAAAGCAAAGAAUGGCUAAUGAUUUUGAAAUUGAGGAAAAUAAUGGGAUGUUAUAUCUUGAUAUAACUUGGCAUUUAUCAGACUCCAAACAGAGAAUUGUUGUACAAAUAAUCAUUUCAUGCAAUAAAUUCAAAUUUUGCCAUAAAGGCAUAUAAUAUAACCAAUUGCUAAUAUGAAUGACAUAGUCAACACUAUAAGAUAAGCUGCUCAUUGAGAGAGAGAGAGAGAGAGA